ACUCCUACGGGAGGCAGCAGUGGGGAAUAUUGCACAAUGGGGGAAACCCUGAUGCAGCCAUGCCGCGUGUGUGAAGAAGGCCUUCGGGUUGUAAAGCACUUUCAGUAGGGAGGAAGGUAGUGUAGUUAACACCUGCAUUAUUUGUACGUUACCUACAGAAGAAGCACCGGCUAACUCCGUGCCAGCAGCCGCGGUAAUACGGAGGGUGCGAGCGUUAAUCGGAAUUACUGGGCGUAAAGCGCAUGCAGGCGGCCUGUUAAGUCAGAUGUGAAACGCCCGGGGUCUUAACCGUCGGAAUUGCAUUUGAAACUGGCAGGCUAGAGUCUGUAGAGGGGUUAGAAUUUCGAGUGUAG
RNAcentral lists this ribosomal RNA (353 nucleotides) under uncultured bacterium. Its description in RNAcentral is "bacterial SSU rRNA". It matches the Rfam family "Bacterial small subunit ribosomal RNA", at positions 335 to 678 of the family's 1533-position model. The record is from RNAcentral.